UUCCUGAGAUUUCUCUCUCAUUAGACAGUCCCUCUUCCCUUCCUGAGAUUCCUCUCUCACUAAACCGUCCCUCUUCCCUCCCUUCAACAGCCCGCUGCAGCGGCAGCCCCUGAGCUCUUGGGCUCCCUUCCUUAAAUAAUCUUUCUUGCUCCAAGGUCCUCCCCCUCCCCUCCCCUCUGGCUGCCGCCUCUCUGAGCUGAGCCAAGCCGGCUCAGCUGUGUUUCGGGCGCAGCCAGGUCUCUGCUCUUUCCCCACUUCCACAUUCCUGGCUGCUGGCUGGAUGCAAGGUCUCCCCCAUGGCGACGCGUCUCUUUCCCGAUCGCUGGCACUUCAUUGAUAUGCAUAAUGCACAACACUAAUUGACACACAGGAAAAAUAUGGGCAGAAGGACAUAGGAAAUGGUAGAAAGAUGGAUUCAUGUAAUGCAAGCGAGAAGAAAAGAAAUCAAAAGAAGUAUAUUUGAGCCAGAUCAGCAGGCUUCUGAAAGCUAACAGCAUCCCUACUAAAAUGCCUUCUUUCCUGGGGUGCCAUACAGUCUAUUAGCCAUCUCCAGAAGCUGGACUGAAUGCAAGAAUGAGGAUACAAUGAUAACAAUGACUGGCAAAGGAGAAAGCUUUCUUUAUGAGGAAGGAGAGAGCAAAUUUGCAGCCUGGUGGAUAUUGUGUGACUGGAAAAUCAAUGCACAAAAUACAUUUUCUAACACUGGAGGAUCAACAGGUUAGAGAUACCCAGAAGAACUAAAUAUCUCAAGAGAAUCUUCAGGCAAAAGGAUGUGAUCAAUAUUUUAACUUGAGCCCACCUGUGUUUUUAUUGACAAAACUGCUUUGCCUUUUACAAUAAAAUCUCCCUUUCUUCUCUAUCAAAUGCUUGAGAGAUUCACUUAAAAGAGAAAAAAGAAAUGGCAAAGUCAGUCUUCAGGAGGAAGCCUUUCUAAGGUCUGAACUGGUGAGAAGAUCAGCAAGUGUAUCACUUCCAACACUUGCAAAUUUAAUGAAGAACUUCACAGAGAAAACACAAUGGAAAGUAUCUAUGGAUACCAAAUAAAACCUUCCCCCCUGCAAAGAUGUUUAUAAUUUAUACCCCUUUAAAACACUAGCGAAUAAAGUUGCCUUGCAGUGUCUUCUGAACA
This is a long non-coding RNA of Sphaerodactylus townsendi, 1129 nucleotides long. RefSeq lists it as uncharacterized. Lineage: Eukaryota; Metazoa; Chordata; Lepidosauria; Squamata; Sphaerodactylidae. The transcript is spliced from 2 exons. The record is from RefSeq and is a predicted model, not a curated record.